Pezoporus occidentalis (night parrot) is the source of this 631-nucleotide long non-coding RNA. RefSeq lists it as uncharacterized. The transcript is spliced from 3 exons. The record is from RefSeq and is a predicted model, not a curated record. NCBI's taxonomy places the organism in Eukaryota, Metazoa, Chordata, Aves, Psittaciformes, Psittacidae.
AAUGCCAGUCAUAAUGCAUUAAGAGCCCACAGAAAUGCACAAUGAAAGAGUAGGGAAACUAUGCAAAUAAGCAGACUGCUGCUAAUGUGCAAACCAGGGUGAAAACAGCAACAAGGUCUCUGAACUGAAUGAGAGACUGUGAGGAGUGUGGCUGGCUAACGGAACGGGAGACAUUUACUGCGGCUUUUAGCUAACUCACCUUAUUUUAUGAAAACACCUGUAUGUGUUUUAAAGCAUGUUUUCAGUCCAGCAUUCUGAGUGUGUAAUUGGGUUUUGAGCAGACUAAGGAAAGUGCUGUUAGAACAUCUCUCCUUGCACCUGACACUGCCACUGAGCUGUCACAUACCUCAAGAUGUGGCCUGACUUCACAUAUAAGUUUUCCAAGGGAUGGAAACAUCAUGACGUAUAUUAUUGGUAGUACACAUUAAAGUAGCUGUAAGGGAGCUAUAUGACUGUUCUUCUGUACAAAUGUAUGCCUGCAGAGCUGUGCAAGAAAGCACAGAAGUUUGACAAUGAUCAGCCUCUCAGAAACUAAUUAUGCAUUUUGGAAAGUCAGGAAACUGCACCUUAAAAGUAAACAUGCAUAAAGGAGCAAAGGGAGCUCUGUGGAAAGGGCGUACCUAACAAUACU